RNAcentral lists this ribosomal RNA (497 nucleotides) under uncultured bacterium. Its description in RNAcentral is "partial 16S ribosomal RNA". It matches the Rfam family "Bacterial small subunit ribosomal RNA", at positions 28 to 507 of the family's 1533-position model. The record is from RNAcentral.
GAUGAACGCUGGCGGCGUGCCUAAUACAUGCAAGUCGAGCGAACAGACGAGGAGCUUGCUCCUCUGACGUUAGCGGCGGACGGGUGAGUAACACGUGGAUAACCUACCUAUAAGACUGGGAUAACUUCGGGAAACCGGAGCUAAUACCGGAUAAUAUAUUGAACCGCAUGGUUCAAUAGUGAAAGACGGUUUUGCUGUCACUUAUAGAUGGAUCCGCGCCGCAUUAGCUAGUUGGUAAGGUAACGGCUUACCAAGGCAACGAUGCGUAGCCGACCUGAGAGGGGGAUCGCCCACACUGGAACUGAGACACGGUCCAGACUCCUACGGGAGGCAGCAGUAGGGAAUCUUCCGCAAUGGGCGAAAGCCUGACGGAGCAACGCCGCGUGAAUGAUGAAGGUCUUCGGAUCGUAAAACUCUGUUAUUAGGGAAGAACAAAUGUGUAAGUAACUAUGCACGUCUUGACGGUACCUAAUCAGAAAGCCACGGCUAACUACGUG